GGCUUACUUUGGGCUUACUUUGGCGGAGAAGGCAGGAUGCAGGAAGCGCAAGCGAGAGGUAGCGGGAUCGAUGCCCGCAUUCUCCAGGAGACUUUGGUUUCCUCUCUUCUGUUGCAAAGGUAAUGAGCGAAAAACCGUGACAUACUGGACAUUAGUCGAUGGACAUGCUUAACGUUCUGUGAAUCAACUCAGGUGGUCUUGUUGGUGGCCUAUCUCACUGCAUGACUUUUGCAACCUCUCUACGGCCUGGACCUUAGUUAAGGUGUGGUAGUUCGCUGGCACGCGAAUAAAGUAGCUAAGGGGCCCCGUAUACUCAACAACGCUGAUGCCGGUCACUCAGUGUACCGCUGGAUGUGGACAAGAUAGAUAGACACUUUAUUGAUACUUUAUUGAUCCCGGAGGAAAUUCAAGCUACGUACGUGCGCCCGAUAAAAUCAAGUAACCAGAGCCGUUGCUUUCCGAUUGGCACAAAUCUACACGGAGGCCAAGGAAAAGAUUCUCCUUCGAGCCGGAUUUGAACCAGCGACCUAAGGAUAACUGUUUUGACCAACCUACAGUCCUCCGCUCUACCAACUGAGCUAUCGAAGGAAGCGCUCAGAGAGGAACGACAGAGACCUACACGGACCGUAACAUGGCAACGAGUGUGCUCGUUUAAACACCUGCUGGCCUAACACUGGGAGUUUCAUGACAUACUUGGUGAAGACUGCCGUCGGCCACUACGUUCACCGGCAGACGUGGGACGGCUUUGAGUUUUUUUCCCCAGAGAAAUCACGCAACGAAACAGGCGGCUCUGAAAAAGACUGCCUUCGACUCUUUCUAUUCUGAACAGACGAGGACGACGGGCAGGGCCCUCUAGGCGGACAUGCCUGAGCGAAGCGAGCAUCUGCUUAAAAGCCAGAUGUGAAACACAGCUGGAAUGCCAGUUGAGGUUUGGUAGUUUGCUGACAUGUGAAGAUGGCCGAUUAAAGAUUCCUCAAGCGCGACGAGGAUGGGAUUCGAACCCACGCGUGCAGAGCACAAUGGAUUAGCAGUCCAUCGCCUUAACCACUCGGCCACCUCGUCUUUGAGCUGAGGGCUCCUUCGUGUGCGCACGCGGUGUGUGACCAUAAAAAGCCAAGACAGUUGGACCCAACUCAGGUCUGAUUGCAGUGCCUUGCAGGAGGUCGCAAGGGGAAUUAGCUCAAAUGGUAGAGCGCUCGCUUAGCAUGCGAGAGGUAGCGGGAUCGAUGCCCGCAUUCUCCAGGAGACUUUGGUUUCCUCUCUUCUGUUGCAAAGGUAAUGAGCGAAAAACCGUGACAUACUGGACAUUAGUCGAUGGACAUGCUUAACGUUCUGUGAAUCAACUCAGGUGGUCUUGUUGGUGGCCUAUCUCACUGCAUGACUUUUGCAACCUCUCUACGGCCUGGACCUUAGUUAAGGUGUGGUAGUUCGCUGGCACGCGAAUAAAGUAGCUAAGGGGCCCCGUAUACUCAACAACGCUGAUGCCGGUCACUCAGUGUACCGCUGGAUGUGGACAAGAUAGAUAGACACUUUAUUGAUACUUUAUUGAUCCCGGAGGAAAUUCAAGCUACGUACGUGCGCCCGAUAAAAUCAAGUAACCAGAGCCGUUGCUUUCCGAUUGGCACAAAUCUACACGGAGGCCAAGGAAAAGAUUCUCCUUCGAGCCGGAUUUGAACCAGCGA
Long non-coding RNA from Acanthopagrus latus (yellowfin seabream), 1682 nucleotides. RefSeq lists it as uncharacterized. NCBI's taxonomy places the organism in Eukaryota, Metazoa, Chordata, Actinopteri, Spariformes, Sparidae. The transcript has 2 exons. The record is from RefSeq and is a predicted model, not a curated record.